AAGGACUACUGCAGAGAGAUACCUAGCAGCCAAGCAUCAUGAUCAUUCAAACUACGAGCCUGCUGCAACAAGGACGCCAAACUAAUUGAGGAAUGAAACAAGAUUGGUUCGCCACAAAAACAACUGUGUCAGCCCAGCAAGGCUCAAUGUCGUGCUUAUCCAACAUCUGAGAUCUGUUGUGAGAUAAGAAUAUGCUACUCAUCACAAUUGAUAAGUAGCUGGGAAGUUCACUUUGAAGUUCAGGACCGGGUAGCACGUA
This 259-nucleotide long non-coding RNA is filed under the name Priapulus caudatus. RNAcentral describes it as "uncharacterized LOC106821585, transcript variant X7". The record is from RNAcentral. Lineage: Eukaryota; Metazoa; Priapulida; Priapulimorpha; Priapulimorphida; Priapulidae.